AAAAAAAAAAAAAAAGGCUCAAGUGAAAUCUGCGAAAUUGUUUACCAGGCAUAGUUGUGUGCAUAUACUGUACUAGGUCUGGAUGUGUAAGGACCGGCCCGCGUGUUGAAGUAAGGUUAAACCAUCACCAUUUUAUACCUGGGUUUCUUGGCAUGUUGCACUAGAAUAAGAAGGUGUCUAAAGUGACAGAAACAUUGUGAUAGAAUUCCAGGAGGGGAAAACCAACAUUUGUUGCACCAAGAAUGAGCUAUUCCUUUAAGUUCUGAUCAUAGCUGGAGGCUCACAAAAGAAGUGGAUGGAGGUACGCUCUAAAGUAAGAGGAGUCUGAAUCAUAAGUGUCUAUGUAUUAGAAAGAAGUAGAUGCCAGUGGAAACUGUGCCAGUGAUGUAAUAAUGCAUUUGACACUAACAUCCUGUAUGUUUUAUACAUGUUGGCAGAAAACCACUGGAGGAGAAUCCUACUUAAUUCAUAGAUCCUUAAAAUAAUUAAAGUUUUUUGUUACAGUUGUCUUGAUGUUAUCUGCCUAUCCCUAAAAGGCAAAUAGAUAUCAGAAGUCGUUUAAAAUACCAGGAUGUGUUAUAUGGUCACCAUGGAUUUACCCCAAUUUCCUAUAACUGUUAUUUUACAUUGAAAAUAUGUAUUUAUAAUGAUCAGCUUGAAGGAUAGUGACAUCCUGAAUCACCUAAAAAUAAUUCAGCUGUGUUUCCUAGUUGUCAGCGGGGAAGAAAGCAUAAUAAUACUUUCUGGAGAAAAAAAACUCAGCAAGCAAAAAUUAAAACAAAAAUAUUUUAUUAGCCCUCAAUUAACCACAACUUUAAAUUACCCAUAAUACCUGUAUGCCUCGGGCAUUCUAUUAAGGUUUAUUCUGUAUAAAUUCAGCAUAUUUUAUUGUGAUCACAAUAAUGAUAGGCUGUUUACUUUGUCCCAUCCAAAGCCUUUAAAUAAUCUCUAUUCUUAAUACUUUUUCUCUUGUAGUUUUUUUCCCUCCACACUCAAGGAUUCAAUAAAUAACACCCAAAUUUAUAUAACUGAGCCUGACCUAAAGUUCAUUUCUGAUUUUCAGUUUCAAACCAGGCAUUUCUAAAUGUAUUCAAAGGGACUGGCCCCAUGGCGUAGUGGUUAACUUUAGUGUCCUCCACUUCAGCAGCCCAGGUUCUCGGCUUUGGAUCCCAGGUACGUACCUACACCACCUGUCAGCCAUGCUGUGGCAGCAACCCACAUAUAAAAUAGAGGAAGAUUGGCAACAGAUGUUAGCUCAGAGGCAAUCUUCCUCAGCAAAAAAACAAAAAAAAAAAGCUGUGGGACAAUUCAAGAUGGCUAAUAAAGGGGUAACUGGAGGCCCUCAAAGGAGAGAGAGUGUGGGAGAACUAUUUGAAGAAAUAAUGGCCAAAAACAUUCCAGAUUUGAGGAAGACUGUAAACUCAAAGAUCCAAGAAGCUCAACAAACCUCAAGGACAAGAAACAUGAAAAGUACACCAAGGGACAUCAUAAUCAGAUUUCUCAAAAUCAGUAAUAAAAAGAAAAUCUUAAAAGCAGCCAGAGAAAAAAGACAUGUUACAUACAGAGAAACAAAGAUGACCUCAGACUUCUGAUUGAAAACAAUGGAACAUGGGCCGGCCCCAUGGCCAAGUGGUUAAGUUCAUGCGCUCUGCUUCAGCAGCCCAGGGUUUGGAUCCUGGGCGAGGACAUGACACCGCUCAUUAGGCCAUGUUGAAGUGGCGUCCCACAUGCCACAACUAGAAGGACCCACAACUAAAAUAUACAACUAUGUACUGGGGGGGAUUUGGGGAAGAAAAAAAAAAAGCAGAAAGAAAAAGCUUGGCAACAGUUGUUAGCUCAGGUGCCAAUCUUUUAAAAAAAAGAAAACAAUAGAACAACUUAUUUAGAAGAAGUGAAAGAAAAAACUGUUGACCUAGAAUUCUAUAACAGCAAAAAGUAUGAAUUCAGACAAACAAAAGCUGAAAAAAUUCAUCACCAGCAGAUCUGCAUUACAAAAACAAAAAUAGAUUCAUACCUCAAAUUCAUCAGUCUCUAAACCUUAUCAGUUCCCUUCCCGUUUCUUCAAACUUGAAGCACUGUAUAAUGGCUUCAUGAAUGAUUUUAUUAAUUUCACUUUUUUCUCAACUUUCUUCCUAUAAACAACUACCAGAUUAAUUUUCUUAAAACAGUGCUUUGGAUCUUACAUUCUCUUGCCCAAAAACUUUCAAUGACUUGCAGUAUCCAUAUUAAGUUAUACACCAAGCAGUCCUCAGCCUGUUCUUACGUAUUGCAUAAAUCCUCCGUUCCGGUCAAACUGUUCUCCCUUCACCCUUAGCUCUUCCUCUUGCUUGAAAAGACAUUCCUCCUCUUUCUCCUUCGAAGCCUGUUCUUCAAGAACUAGUUUAAGCCCCAUCUUCACCAAGCCUUUCCCACGCCUUGGGUGAUAAAACCAUACUUGAAACCAAGGGUUCUCAAAUUCAGGUUCAUGGCUGACUUCAGGGAGUGUUGGAACUCCUUGUAAUUGUGUUCAAAAUUUUGUGUACAUGUUCACUAUAUCGUCCAAGUCUAUACCUUUCAUCAGAUAUUCAAAGAGGUGUGACUACCUUCCCCCAAAAUGGAAAAAUUACUUCUCCAAACUUCUGUGGCACUUCCCUGAGCUUUUAUUUGACAUGCAUAAUAUCCUAAAAGCAUUAUCUUCUUUUGGUAUUUUUCAGCAAAUGCUAAUUAUCUUGUAUUGAUAUUUACCUUUUAGUAUGUACAUGCUCCCUUUCAACCAGAUUGCAUGCAUACUCAAGGAUAUGAGGGACCUUAUUAGAAUUCUUUGUAUCCUCCAACAUUUAUUUGAAUACCCACAUGUGCCACUCUGUUCUAGCUUUUAGGAUGCAUCAGUAAACAAAAAUCCCUCACUUGCGGAGUUGAUAUUCUUGCAAGGAGAAGACAGGAUAAACAAUAAACACAAACAGUCAGUCCCUCCUGUCUCCUCUGGGACCCCAUGCUCCAGCAGCGAUUUACCCUGUCUCCUGGGCACGCUCCCACACCGCACAGCCUCUACUGCCUCCUUCCACGCAGCUGACAUGCUGAGCAAGGAAUGGUAGCAGCCAAGAAGAAACGGUGGUCGGUUCUGCCUGAGUUUGGCAGUGGGCUGGUGGUAUCGAGAGACUUGCUCUCUUUUUCCACUUAAAAAUAAAUACCUCUGCCUAUUGCCCAAUCCCUCCGGCCCCACCCUUAAAAGACUCACAGCUGUCUCCCACCUCCUCAUAUAAACACACUCAUGUGUGCUGUUUUAAUUGUCUAAGACUCUAUGUGGGUUCCAAACCAUGGUAAUAAGGGAAAAAAUCUAGGGAGAAAUGAGAGAAUCCGUUAUCACAAGGCUGUGAUGCUCUGUCACUCAUAGACACAGAGCCAGCUGGAUUAUUACUUAGAGUAUUCUUAGAACUGCACCCAAAUUAGGACAUCGCUUUUCGUAGCCAGGACUUGUGCCAGCUUUGUUUUUCAUUGUUCGGCUCCUCCAGUUAGAGGUUCAGUCACUGCCGGUCCAAGCAGCCCAGUAAGCCUCGUGGGUUUGACUCUUUAGAGAUUAGAGCAAGGGCAUUCCAACUUAAUAGCCUCAGGAACAGUUUCAGCUUUUUCUAUCUGAGAACCUGAAACAGGAAAGAGAGAAAAGGAAAUUGAAAAAAAGAGUUGGUAUGCUGUAUGUAAAGAAAAAAUUAAUGUGCUGCUUAUGCAUAAGGAAAAAUACUUCUCAUUACCUUCUGGAGAGCCUCAUCAACAUUAUUGGGCUGUUGAGAAGCAGCCAGUAAAGCUGAGUGAUUUCUAGCCCAAGGCUUCUGUCAAGUAGUGGUUGGAGGCCUGUGACAGGAAGUAAGAUGCAUUUGUUAAUUUAAAAGUCCAUUAUAAGAGUUACUGUCUGGGAAAGUAAAAAUACGGGUUGUAAUACUAAGAUCUAGUCUAGGACAGGGUCGGGAGGAUUCUCCGAAAGAUGAUCUUAAAAGGAGAAUGUUUCUGUUAUCAAUCCGGUCAGACUCUGAGUUUACUGAGGAGGAACCAUCCUUUUUACUCUUUAGAAUUAGAAGAAUCCUCAGUAUAUCAGGAAGCAUGUAGUGAACGCUCAACACGUACCGAAUUUCUCGUUCUCUCCUUUUCCGCCUUCCUCAUAUCUGUGUCGUUUUUUUCUUUUUCUCCCUGGUGUUCCCGUUUUUGCUCCCUUACCGUGCUCCAGUUCCUCACACCUGUCACCCCGUGCUUCCGUGCCUUUGCAUGAGCCGGAUUCUCUGUCCCCCGUGUUCAUCAGAGGGGAGAGAAUGCUGCCUUGUCCUCUAAUCCAAAACUGAAAGUCGCCUCUGCCUGGUAUGCCCCUUACUCUGCCUCUUCCUCCCUCAGGUUCCAUCAGAAAGGCUGCUUCCUCAGAGAGCCUUUCCCGGACACCCCACAUCUGAGUUAUGUCACCUCGUUAUUUUCUCAGUGUUGGUAUUUCCUUCAUAGCACUUGUCACAAUUUCUAAUAGCAUAUACGCACACGUAUUUAUGUUCACGUGACUAACAUCCGCCUCCCCCAGUGGACGGGAAGCUGUUUGAGAACAGGGACCCUGUCUUUAUUCAGCAUUUGUAUCUAGAUUGGGGCCUGACAUGCAGUAGGCGCGCAAAUAUAUUUGCCAAAUGAAUGACUCACCUCUUUUGAGAAACAUUCUCUCACUUUUAGCACUUUGUGUUAAUACUUAACUUUAUUAUGACAUUUAUUACAUUGCUGUCUCAUCUCACUAGAUUGUAGCUACACAUGACUGCAGUUCACAUGCUUGAAAACAUGCUCAUUCCUGCUUUUUCUCAUACCUCACCCCUGAGGUUAAACUCUGCUGUAGGUCACAUCGCUUGCGCUGUCACAUAGCUCUGCUUCUAGCUGUUUUCGGGGGGGAGUGGGGGUGAGGGCAGGGAGUGGUGUUCAGCCCCUUGUUUAUUUUAUAUAUUUGGCUUUCAGGUAAAUAUCUAUUAAGCGUACCCAUUGUCCAGUCACUGCCUUCGCCCCAGCUCGGUCCACUCCCCUCUCCCCAAGAAAACAAAAACCCUCCUGUCCUUGGAGAAUAAUCUUUCUUUAGGGUCACAUUUCGAUAUAGUAGGAUAGAAUACUGAAUUUCCUGGAGAGGUUUUAAGAGCAUAAGAAUUAUCAGCUGAAUAUUUAUUGUGGUUCUAGAUCUGUUUUUUGACUAAGAAAAGAUUAUAAACUUGGGCAUUGAACUAUUUAUUUUUCUUGUUACCAUGUCUUUCUCAUAUAGAAGAAUGCUUUAUAGGUAAUUGGUGCUCAGUAACUGUUUAGUGGAUUGAAUAUUUACCUAAAAAAGAGCAUCGGACUUAAAGUCAAAAGAUGUGACAUGAGUUCUACUCAUGAUCUCGUUGUUUAAUGUUCUGUUGCAAGUGCUAGCCGGUGCAGUAGGUAAAUGUUCAAAAUAAAUUACCAUUAUUUAUCUGUGACUAUAAGUUGGAAAAGCUAAGAGGAUCAACUGAAAAACUCUUAAGAAACAAUAAGAGAGUAUAAUAGGGUAGCAGGUUAUAAAAUUAAUAUUCAAGCAUCAGUAACUUUCUCAUGUCAACAUAGUAACUAAUCUAAAUAUAACAAAAGAAAAUAUCACAGUCACAAUAACCAAAUUAAAUAUUGGAAUAAACUCGUGGUUGCUAGUACCCAUCACACAGAGAAGUAGGGGCCCUUAAUUUCACUGACCACAGUGUAAAUGGUGCCCCUUGGGGUUGAGCUGCACAAUGUCUCUGAAUAUACUUAGAAAGUUUUCAGGGGCCGGCCCCGUGGCCGAGUGGUUAAGUUCAAGCGCUCCGCUGUAGGCGGCCCAGUGUUUCGUCAGUUUGAAUCCUGGGCGCAGACAGGGCACCACUCAUCGAGCCAUGCUGAGGCAGCGUCCCACAUGCCACAACUAGAAGGACCCACAACUAAGAAUAUACAACUAUGUACCGGGGGACCUUGGGGAAAAAAAGGAAAAAAAUAAAAUCUUUAAAAAAAACAAAAAAAAGAAAGUUUUCAGAAACUACUUCAAGAAUACUAUAAAACUCUAUGAAGAAACUAAAUAAAGUCAUUAAAACACCUUGUUCUUGGGUAAGAAGACUCAGCAUUGUAAAAAUACCAGUUCUUUCUGAAUCAAUGUGUAAACUGAAUGCAAUCCAAAUCAACAGAAUUUUCUUUAGAACUUGUCGAAAUUAUUCUAAAUUUCAUUUGGAAGAAUAUAUUUAAGAAUCACUAUGGAUGUGGCUGGCCUGGUGGCGCAGCAGUUAAGUUCACGCAUUCUGCUUCGGCAGCCUGGGGAUGGUCGGUUCAGAUCCUGGGUGUGGAGCUAUGCACCAUUUAUCAAGCCAUGCUGUGGCAGGCGUCCCACAUAUAAAGUAGAGGAAGAUGGGCACAGCUGUUAGCUCAGGGUCAGUCUUCCUCAGUAAAAAGGGGAGGAUUGGUGGCAGAUGUUACUCAGGGCUAAUCUUCCUCCUCAAAAAAAAAAAGCACCAUGGAAAAUUAUGAAAAGCAGAAUAAUGUAGGGGGAGGAUGUGCCUCCCAAAUAUUAAUAUGUAUUAUAAAACUUCUUUAAUUAAAACAUCAGUGGAAUACAGUAGAAUACAGAAUUAGACCCCAAUAAAAAUGAGCAAAUGAUAAAGAUGGCAGGGUUAAUUGAAUAAUAGGUAUUAGAACAACCAACUAGCCAUUUAUAAUAAUAAAUAUGAAGUCCUACUUCCUUCUGCAUUCCAAAAUAAACUCCAGAUGGAUCAAAGAUUUAAAUAUAAAAAUUAACUGUAAGAGUCCAAAAGGAAACAGCUUGAAUAAAUGUAUUUGUAACCUUGAAAUGGGGAAGGCUUUUCUAAACAUAGCCCAAAACAAAGAAGCCACAGGAUAUUUUUAUUCUAUAUCUUGCGUGGCACAAAAGACCAUUUAAAAAGACAACAGGGGGACAGCCCGGUGGCGCGGUGGUUAAGUUUGCACAUUCCACUUCGGUGGCCCAGGGAUUGGCGGUUCAGAUCCCAGUGGCGGACCUAUACAUUGCUUGUCAAGCCAUGCUGUGGCAGGCGUCCCACAUAAGUAGAGGAAGAUGGGCAUGGAUGUUAGCUCAGGGCCAGUCUUCUUCAGCAAAAAAAAAAGGAAGCUUGGCAGCAGAUGUUAGCUCAGGGCUAGUGUUCUUGGAAAAAGAAAGAAGAAAAAGAAAAAGACAACAAACUUGGAAAAAAUGUUUGUAACACAUAUGGUAAGGGGAUAACAUCUCUAAAAAUAAAAACACUUCUUUAAAUCAAUUAGAAAGGAAAAGAAACCCAGUAGAAAAAAAUAGACAACAUAAGCAAGCAAUUCACAAAAGCUACAUUCAUCAGACUUUUUGUUUGUAACUUCUGAGUUUCCUGUUAUGUCUAGAAAGAACUUCCCCACUCCAAGAUGCUCAGCUCUUCUAAUAAUGAAAGAAAUGCAAAUUAAAACAAAAUUUUUUUACUAUUGCAUUGGAAAAUAUCAAUUACCAAUAUAAAAUUGAUAAUAGUGUUGCCAUAGAUUUUUGUGUUGGCAAAAGUAUUAAGAAACAGGCGCUUUUCCCCCCAUUGGUAGGAGUGUAAAUUGCUAUUAUUUAGAGGGCAAUUUGUUAAUCACUGUCAAAAUAUUUAUUGUAGCUAUGUGAUUUGACUCAAUAACUCCAGUUCUAGGAGUUUACCCUCACAAAUGUACCAAGUUUAUUCACAUAAGGAUUUUCACUGAAGUGUUGUUCUUAAUAGUGAAAAACUGGAAGUUACGUACAUACCCAUCAGUAAGGAAUUAGAUAAAUAGAUUAAGGAAAUGCCAUAUGUUGCAGCUGUUUAAGAAAUAAAUACAUAAACCCAUAAGUACUAACAUGGAAAGAUGUCCAAAAUAUAUUAAGUGAAAAACAAUAAGUUGCAGGUGAGUAUGUGUAAUAUGAUCCCAUUUCUGAAAGGGUAAACUUAUAUUUACAUAGAGGGUUUUUUUAAGCCCUGAGUCUGAGAACUGACUUCAUUACUUACUUUUUCACUCAGAGAGUAACCUCUCUUAAUCUAUUUUCUUGUGC
Long non-coding RNA from Equus caballus (horse), 8020 nucleotides. NCBI's taxonomy places the organism in Eukaryota, Metazoa, Chordata, Mammalia, Perissodactyla, Equidae. The record is from Ensembl.